RNAcentral lists this ribosomal RNA (506 nucleotides) under uncultured soil bacterium. RNAcentral's name for it is "bacterial SSU rRNA". It matches the Rfam family "Bacterial small subunit ribosomal RNA", at positions 26 to 532 of the family's 1533-position model. The record is from RNAcentral.
AGAUUGAACGCUGGCGGCAUGCUUUACACAUGCAAGUCGAACGGUAACAGGCCGCAAGGUGCUGACGAGUGGCGAACGGGUGAGUAAUGCAUCGGAACGUGCCCAGUCGUGGGGGGAUAACGCAGCGAAAGCUGUGCUAAUACCGCAUACGAUCUAUGGAUGAAAGCGGGGGACCGAAAGGCCUCGCGCGAUUGGAGCGGCCGAUGUCAGAUUAGCUAGUUGGUGGGUAAAGGCCCACCAAGGCGACGAUCUGUAGCUGGUCUGAGAGGACGACCAGCCACACUGGAACUGAGACACGGUCCAGACUCCUACGGGAGGCAGCAGUGGGGAAUUUUGGACAAGUGGCGCAAGCCUGAUCCAGCAAUGCCGCGUGACAGGAAGAAAGGCCUUACGGGUUAGUAAACGUAGUACUUUUGUAACGGUAACGAAACGGUACCGUAGGGUUAAUACCUCGGUACGUAAUGAACGUAACCGUAAAGUAAGAAGACAACCGGUACUAACUACGU